GGAGGCGUCCACCCGAUCGCCGGUUCCCUUUGGGAACGGGAGGAAAGUCCGGGCUCCGCAGGGCAGGGUGCUGGGUAACGCCCAGUCUCGGUGACGAGCAGGACAGUGCCACAGAAAACAAACCGCCGAGCACUCACUUUUCCGUCGAGCCAUUCCGCGCCGGCUCGACGGCGAAGUGAGUGCUCGGUAAGGGUGAAACGGUGAGGUAAGAGCUCACCAGUCCCGGUGGUGACACCGGGAGCUCGGUAAACCCCACCCGGAGCAAGGCCAAGUAGGGGAGCGUUGAAGGGUUGCCCGCCCGAGGCUCCCGGGUCGGCCGCUUGAGCCUCAUGGUAACAUGAGGCCUAGAGGAAUGAUCGGGACCUUUCGUCAGGAAAGGCACAGAACCCGGCUUAUGGGCUCCUCCACAU
RNAcentral lists this RNase P RNA (410 nucleotides) under Desulfosoma caldarium. RNAcentral's name for it is "Desulfacinum sp. USBA 53 Bacterial RNase P class A". It matches the Rfam family "Bacterial RNase P class A". Rfam says of the family: Ribonuclease P (RNase P) is a ubiquitous endoribonuclease, found in archaea, bacteria and eukarya as well as chloroplasts and mitochondria. Its best characterised activity is the generation of mature 5'-ends of tRNAs by cleaving the 5'-leader elements of precursor-tRNAs. The record is from Rfam by way of RNAcentral. Lineage: Bacteria; Pseudomonadati; Thermodesulfobacteriota; Syntrophobacteria; Syntrophobacterales; Syntrophobacteraceae.